This 74-nucleotide transfer RNA is filed under the name Loxodonta africana (African savanna elephant). It matches the Rfam family "tRNA". From Rfam's summary of the family: Transfer RNA (tRNA) molecules are approximately 80 nucleotides in length. Their secondary structure includes four short double-helical elements and three loops (D, anti-codon, and T loops). Further hydrogen bonds mediate the characteristic L-shaped molecular structure. tRNAs have two regions of fundamental functional importance: the anti-codon, which is responsible for specific mRNA codon recognition, and the 3' end, to which the tRNAs corresponding amino acid is attached (by aminoacyl-tRNA synthetases). tRNAs cope with the degeneracy of the genetic code in two manners: having more than one tRNA (with a specific anti-codon) for a particular amino acid; and 'wobble' base-pairing, i.e. permitting non-standard base-pairing at the 3rd anti-codon position. Lineage: Eukaryota; Metazoa; Chordata; Mammalia; Proboscidea; Elephantidae. The record is from Rfam by way of RNAcentral.
CCCUUGGUGGUGCAGAUGGUUAACGCACUCAGCUGCUAACUGAGACAUUGGAGGUUCAAGUCCAUCCAGAGGCA